This is a long non-coding RNA of Cololabis saira (Pacific saury), 243 nucleotides long. RefSeq lists it as uncharacterized. The transcript has 3 exons. Lineage: Eukaryota; Metazoa; Chordata; Actinopteri; Beloniformes; Belonidae. The record is from RefSeq and is a predicted model, not a curated record.
ACGGCGGCCGUUGGGGUACUGCAGCCAACAGUGAAGCCGGCACGGGAGCGCGCACAGACCCCUCACAGCACUGAGUUGUGAUAGUGACGUGUGCAAAACCUCGUCAAUCAUGUCAAGCGACGAAGAUUUUGAUUCGAGCUUCGAGCUGCCAGCUUAGCUGAGAUGCAGACGGCUUUACAGCAUCUGAGCCAGGAGGAGAGGGAUGUCCUCCUUCAGUCGGUGGUGACUCGUCUUCCAGGGGUG